This 73-nucleotide transfer RNA is filed under the name Candidatus Aenigmatarchaeota archaeon. RNAcentral describes it as "tRNA-Pro". It matches the Rfam family "tRNA". Rfam says of the family: Transfer RNA (tRNA) molecules are approximately 80 nucleotides in length. The record is from RNAcentral. Lineage: Archaea; Nanobdellati; Candidatus Aenigmatarchaeota.
GGGUUCGUAGUCUAGCUUGGUAGGAUUCGAGCUUCGGGAGCUCGUGGCCCCGGUUCAAAUCCGGGCGGACCCA